UAGGUUUACGGUAAACAUUGACUUCAUCUACUUGAUUUCAUCGUAUUCACACAAAUGCUCUUAUGCCCUUUGUUUUAAAGGUUGUUUGUUUUUCCAAAUUGCAGACAUUGAUUUUGUUUAUUCCUUAUAUGCUUACAGGGGUGGUGAUGUUCUAUAAAGGUUCAGGUGUGGUAUAAAGGUUCAGGUGUGGUGAUGUACUAUAAAGGUUCAGGUGUGGGGAUGUAUUAUAAAGGUUCAGGUGUGGUGAGGUACUAUAAAGGUUCAGGUGUGGUAUAAAGGUUCAGGUGUGGUGGUGAUGUACUAUAAAGGUUCAGGUGUGGCGAUGUAUUAUAAAGGUUCAGGUGUGGUGAUUACUAUAAAGCUGUGGUGAUGUUCUAUAAAGGUUCAGGUGUGGUGAUGUAUUAUAAAGGUUCAGGUGUGGUGAUGUAUUAUAAAGGUUCAGGUGUGGUGAUGUAUUAUAAAGGUUCAGGUGUGGUGAUGUUCUAUAAAGGUUCAGGUGUGGUGAGGUACUAUAAAGGUUCAGGUGUGGUGAUGUUCUAUAAAGGUUCAGGUGUGGUGAUGUAUUAUAAAGGUUCAGGUGUGGUGAUGUUCUAUAAAGGUGUGGUGAUGUAUUAUAAAGGUUCAGGUGUACAAUCAAGGUUCAGGUGUGGUGGUGAUGUAUUAUAAAGGUUCAGGUGUGGUGAUAUUCUAUAAAGGUUCAGGUGUGGUGUGGUGGUGAACUAUAAAGGUUCAGGUGUGGCGAUGAUGUUCUAUAAAGGUUCAGGUGUGGUGUGGUGAUGUAUUAUAAAGGUUCAGGUGUGGUGAUGUUCUAUAAAGGUUCAGGUGUGGUGAUGUUCUAUAAAGGUUCAGGUGUGGUGGUGUACUAUAAAGGUUC
Molecule: long non-coding RNA, 874 nt
Organism: Clupea harengus (Atlantic herring)
Lineage: Eukaryota; Metazoa; Chordata; Actinopteri; Clupeiformes; Clupeidae
Source: Ensembl